This 166-nucleotide ribosomal RNA is filed under the name Dicliptera sciadephora. RNAcentral's name for it is "5.8S ribosomal RNA". Lineage: Eukaryota; Viridiplantae; Streptophyta; Magnoliopsida; Lamiales; Acanthaceae. The record is from RNAcentral.
AAUCCCGUGAACCAUYGAGUUUUUGAACGCAAGUUGCGCCCGAAGCCUUCGGGCCGAGGGCAAGCCUGCCUGGGGGUCAAGCAUNSCGUCGCCCCCUCCACCCCGUCCUCGUAGGCGGGGGGGGCGGAGACUGGCCUCCCGUGCGCUCUCGUCGCGCGGCCGGCCC